This 491-nucleotide ribosomal RNA is filed under the name uncultured bacterium. Its description in RNAcentral is "partial 16S ribosomal RNA". It matches the Rfam family "Bacterial small subunit ribosomal RNA", at positions 28 to 507 of the family's 1533-position model. The record is from RNAcentral.
GAUGAACGCUGGCUACAGGCUUAACACAUGCAAGUCGAGGGGAAACGACGGGGAAGCUUGCUUCCCCGGGCGUCGACCGGCGCACGGGUGAGUAACGCGUAUCCAACCUGCCUCUGACUGAGGGAUAACCCGUCGAAAGUCGGCCUAAUACCUCAUGGCAUCGUCUGCGGGCAUCCAACGACGAUUAAAGAUUUCAUCGGUCAGAGAUGGGGAUGCGUCUGAUUAGCUUGUUGGCGGGGUAACGGCCCACCAAGGCGACGAUCAGUAGGGGUCCUGAGAGGAAGGUCCCCCACAUUGGAACUGAGACACGGUCCAAACUCCUACGGGAGGCAGCAGUGAGGAAUAUUGGUCAAUGGGCGAGAGCCUGAACCAGCCAAGUAGCGUGCAGGAUGACGGCCCUAUGGGUUGUAAACUGCUUUUAUGCGGGGAUAAAGUGAGGGACGUGUCCUUCAUUGCAGGUACCGCAUGAAUAAGGACCGGCUAAUUCCGUG